UGACGUCUCUCCCCAGUGCCCACUCCCCUCUCCGCCUGCACUAAGGUUCUAGAAUCUUCUCCUUUCUGUUUACAGGUGAUGAGAAGAGGUCAUUAGCAGAAACAGAGUACAGUUUAAACUGUCCGUUAUUUGCAUUCACACCUUAUGAAUCUUGAAGGGUCAGGCCGUCGUGGAGCCAUGAGGCCAGGUCACGCCCGCCCACCGCUGCCGACCUUCGCAUCCCUGGAGAUCUGAAGCCGGCCCGGCGGGACCCAGCCGAGCCCCCCGGAGGCCAUGGCCGAGCGGCACCA
Molecule: long non-coding RNA, 290 nt
Filed under: Capra hircus (goat)
Lineage: Eukaryota; Metazoa; Chordata; Mammalia; Artiodactyla; Bovidae
Description: lncRNA (ENSCHIG00010023262.1)
Source: RNAcentral